UAGGGAAUAUUGGACAAUGGGGGCAACCCUGAUCCAGCCAUGCCGCGUGAGUGAAGAAGGCCCUCGGGCUGUAAAGCUCUUUUGUCCGGAAAGAAAAGCAUUCGGUGAAUACCCGGAUGUUCUGACGGUACCGGAAGAAUAAGCACCGGCUAACUUCGUGCCAGCAGCCGCGGUAAUACGCAGGGUGCAAGCGUUACUCGGAAUUACUGGGCGUAAAGCGUGCGUAGGUGGUUGUUUAAGUCUGAUGUGAAAGCCCUGGGCUCAACCUGGGAAUGGCAUUGGAAACUGGGCAGCUAGAGUGCGGUAGAGGGUAGUGGAAUUCCCGGUGUAGCAGUGAAAUGCGUAGAGAUCGGGAGGAACAUCUGUGGCGAAGGCGACUGCCUGGACCAGCACUGACACUGAGGCACGAAAGCGUGGGGAGCAAACA
RNAcentral lists this ribosomal RNA (427 nucleotides) under uncultured bacterium. RNAcentral's name for it is "bacterial SSU rRNA". It matches the Rfam family "Bacterial small subunit ribosomal RNA", at positions 355 to 774 of the family's 1533-position model. The record is from RNAcentral.